GUGCAAAUGUGGCAGCUCAGAGUGGGGAACAAAAUCCCUAGCCGAAGCACUUGAUCCCUUUGGGCCUGGCAACACCUCUCCUUCCCCCAUCUCCUUCUCCACCACCGACCGCCGCCACGGCGAGGCCGGUGUGGUGGUGCGCCUCCGCCACCCAUCCAUCUAUCCAUCACCGGUGCCCCACACCACCAGCGCCCAUCUCGCCUGCCGUACCCACGUGCCUCCACCUGCUGCUGAUUCUCCUUGCCACUCCCUUCGCCUACCUCGCUGUUGUUCUUCUUCCCGAUGUCCUCCCUGCUACCCUUCUGCUUCUCCCCGGCUUCCCCUCUCAUCACGUCCCUGCUGCUGCACUUCUUCUCUCCCAACGCUACUGCUGCUACUACGCUCUGCUGCUCCCUCUUGCUAACCUGUUGCUACUUCUUGCUUUACCCUACUGCUGCUCUACUUCUCUCAUCACAACUACUCCUCCUCCUCUCUAACCCCUGCUGCCUCUAUCUCUUCUCUGAACCUCCUUUGUUGCUGCCUCUUCUCUCCUCUGCUGUUGGCUUGAGAUUUUUGUAAGCGGAGAUGUGUUAAACUUUGUAAGGUUCAGAUUUUAAGUAGUGCUUGAAACUUGUUCAGUUUCAGACUUGUGCUUGAUUAAUAGUACUUAUUUUGUUCAUUUCAGAUUACUGGAAUUAACUCCCCCUGUUUUCAUAUGUGUUAUAUGUGUACUGUAGCGCUUGUGUUAACUUUGUUCAUGUGAAAACAUAUAUGUUUGUGUUGUGAUAUAAUUUUGUCCCUAUCAUAUUAGCUUGUUUCUUUCCUUCUGUCAUUACUAGUUAUAUAUGUGUUUGUGUUUGUGUUGUGAGAGUUGUACUGUUACAUUGUGACUCUCAUUUAGAAUGUAUGAGUACUAGAUAUAUAUGUCAUAUAUAUUCUGUUCAUGUUUAAUAGUUAUAUGUGUUCUUGUCUAGCAGCUUUCCCUAAUAUUUGUGCUAGUGUUUUAGAUUCUCGGGUAUAAUGAAAAUACCAAAAAGAUAUUGAGUAAAAUCUGAAUUUCCCUUUGUUGUUUGUCGUUUUCUUUGCCAACGAUCUUCGGGAACAACCUGGUUAGUUUAGGUUUUAUUUUCUGCAAUCAUCUCUUAAAAUUGUGUUACCUAGCUUUAGUCGAGCACCGCCGCUGAUUUUCCUAGUCCUUGAGGAGAACACGACAUCCGUAGUUUUGGGCGUAAAAACCCCACUAUACUCACAACCGAUCAUUUUUGCGUCGUUGCCGGGGACUAGCGUCGAGUGACCGUGCUAGGCUAUAGACUAGGUUUUUCUUCUUUUCCUAGUUUGUGCUAUAUAUGUGAUAUAUCUCUAACUCCUAACCUUUGUUCUAGUUUAUUUCCUCUUUGUUUUCUUUUCCUUUUUGCAGGCUAGAACCAUCUUCUCGGUUAUGGCCUACUAUUCAGAUCACCAUGGAUAUGCGAGCAACACUACAAAUAGCACGGAAAGUAUUCAAGAACUGAUAAGUAAGAUUUCCCAUCGAUUAGAUGAUUUAGCUUGGCAGCGAGAAGUAGUUUUUGAGGAUAGGCCUAGCUCUUAUGAUCCUUAUUCUAGAGGCCAUCCUUAUGUUGCUCCUACCUGCCAUAUUUGUGGAUUUCAGGGCCAUUCGCCCCCUGAAUGUCAGUGUGGUUACUCUUGCCCUCUAGAUUGUUUUGGCAUGAGCUUUGCUCAAGAGCAUAGCUCAUACCAAAACAAUUACUCACAUGGGUGGCCUGAAAACCCGAAUAUGUCAUAUAGGAGCAACAACCCUGAGAUCUCAUCAUUUCCCUCUAGUUAUCCAAUGCAAGGAUUUAGGAAUGAAGAGGAGAGCAACAAUUAUGCUCCACAACAAUUUUAUUCUGCUCCUAUUCAUAUACCUCAGCACCAGGAGAUGUUGCCAAUGGAGUUAAAUGGUCCUCCAUUUGGUCAACCAACACCUUCUACACAAGUGCCCACACAAGAUGACUUUGCUGAUAUAGACAAGCUCACAUUGCUUAGUCUCGAGUUCACUUGGAGUGCUGAAGAUGAUCCAAUUAGGCUGGUGAUACUAGAUGAAAUGAAGAAGAUCAAGAGUGGGAAUGAGCUAGUGGAAGAAGUAAGGAAGAUUGAGAAGAACAUCAAUGCUGGCAGCACUAUUUCUUCGCAGCUAGAGCUGAGUAUUUCUGGGAUAUCCCUUGAUACAUGUGAGGUCCCAACACCUUCACAUUCAGCUGAGCAAUAUAGCGAGAGUCCAGAGGAAGAGAUACUUCAGAUCCAAGAAGAAAUUCUCAAAGCCAAGGCACAAGAUGAUCCAGAGCUCGAAUACCCAAAUGAACAAGUUGAAGAUCCAAUGUCUACUACUUCCGAAGAAGUAAAAGAAGCUGUUGUAGAUGAAGAUGAAGAACCUGAGAUUCAUUUGCCUAUUGUCAUACAAGAGAGUGAUGUGUCAGGUUCAUUCAAUCCUCUUAAUGACAUGUCCCAUUAUGUUUUGUUUGAUUCUACCUUGCUUUACAUGAUGCCAUCACUUAAGGUAGAUUUGAGGAAGUGUUUGCUUGGAUAUGAUGAUACUUAUACCGUUGAUGGCAUUGCUCAUACUAAUGAUGAUCACACUUAUUUUCCUCAUGCCAAACCUAUGCUUAAUGAUAAAUAUCAUCUGAAUGCUAGUAUUGAGCUUGUUGAUUCCUAUCAUACUCGUCAUGUUCUAUAUUCCUAUGUUUAUAUAAUUGGAUACUCGAUUGGCGACUUAGAGGGCAUCGACCCUAUCACUCGUAGUUGUUGUUUGUGUGAGUCCUAUUUCAGGUUUUUGCUUGUGCACGAAUCAAUAUAUGUUGACCAGGUUCGAGGUGACAUCCCUUGGGAUCCCGGUGGAGUCAGAGCAUGGCGAUGAGGAGAAGCAAAUGGGCACACAUAUGGAAGAGAGGAGCUGGAGCAUGCACGAGGAAGCAAAAGGAGAGGAGUCGCAAUGCAAGAGGAUGUGAGAUGAUCGAGUGAGUGCUACAUGAUCAAAACCCGAAAAGUGCGCAAAGCCACUAUAAUCGUCAAGAUUUCUACUAUGUGGCUAACGAGAAGAGAGAAGGGCAUGAAAGAAAUGCGUCAAGGACCUGAGCGUGAAGGAAAGAAGUAAUCUAGGGGAGCAAACUAAAAGAAGAGGAGGAUCUUCUUGGGCAGAAAUGAAGAUAAGAGGAGGGCCAAUGUGCAAAUGUGGCAGCUCAGAGUGGGGAACAAAAUCCCUAGCCGCAAAACUUGAUCCCUUUGGGCCUGGCAACACCUCUUCUUCCCCCAUCUCCUCCUCCACCACCGGCCGCCGCCACGGCCAGCCGGUGUGGUGGUGCACCUCCGCCACCCAUCCAUCUAUCCAUCACCGACGCCCCUCACCAGCAGCGCCCAUCUCGCGUGCCGUACCUGCAUGCCUCCACCUGUUGCUGAUUCUCCUUGCUGCUCCCUACGCCUACCUCGCUGUUGUUCUUCUUCCCGACGUCCUCCCUGCCGCACUUCUGCUUCUCCUCUGCUUCCCCUCUCCUCACGUCCCUGCUGCUGCACUUCUUCUCUCCCAAUGCUACUGCUGCUACUGCGCUCUGCUGCUUCCUCUUGCUAACCUGCUGCUACUUCUUCUCUUUACCCUACUGCUGCUCUACUUCUCUCAUCACAACUGCUGCUCCUCCUCUGUAACCCCUGCUGCCUCUAUCUCUUCUCUGAACCUCCUUUGUUGCUGCCUCUUCUCUCCUCUGCUAUUGGCUUGAGAUUUUUGUAAGCUGAGAUGUGUUAAACUUUGUAAGGUUCAGAUUUUAAGUAGUGCUUUGAACUUGUUCAGUUUCAGACUUGUGCUUGAUUAAUAGUACUUAUUUUGUUCAUCUCAGAGUACUAGAAUUAACUCCCCCUAUUUGCAUAUGUGUGAUAUGUGUCCUGUAGCGCUUGUGUUAACUUUGUUCAUGUGAAAACAUAUAUGUUUGUGUUGUGAUAUAAUUU
RNAcentral lists this ribosomal RNA (3951 nucleotides) under Triticum aestivum (bread wheat). RNAcentral describes it as "partial small subunit ribosomal RNA". Lineage: Eukaryota; Viridiplantae; Streptophyta; Magnoliopsida; Poales; Poaceae. The record is from RNAcentral.